This 241-nucleotide unclassified non-coding RNA is filed under the name Hevea brasiliensis (rubber tree). The record is from RNAcentral. Lineage: Eukaryota; Viridiplantae; Streptophyta; Magnoliopsida; Malpighiales; Euphorbiaceae.
AUCAAAUGUAUCAAAUUUCAUAUGUUCCCUCGUCUUGAAUUGGUUCAGUAAUAUGGGGCAGAAUUCAUCAUAGAUCUGGCAAGCACUUCCAGAUUCAGAUGGGCUGCGGUCCUUUUCCAAAUUUUUAUUCUGCAUCAAAAUGUAUCCUCCAGGAACUUUGUCUCCUGAAAUAACAUCUUGGAGCCAAUCUUCAAAUUUUGCAACAGCAUGAACCAAAACCUGCAUUGCAUUAUCAUCUAAC